This 415-nucleotide ribosomal RNA is filed under the name uncultured bacterium. RNAcentral's name for it is "bacterial SSU rRNA". It matches the Rfam family "Bacterial small subunit ribosomal RNA", at positions 355 to 794 of the family's 1533-position model. The record is from RNAcentral.
UGGGGAAUCUUAGACAAUGGGGGCAACCCUGGUCUAGCCAUGCCGCGUGAGUGAUGAAGGCCUUCGGGUUGUAAAGCUCUUUCGGGGGGAAGGCGGUACCCCCAGAAGAAGCCCCGGCUAACUCCGUGCCAGCAGCCGCGGUAAUACGGAGGGGGCUAGCGUUGUUCGGAAUUACUGGGCGUAAAGCGCACGUAGGCGGAUCGGAAAGUCGGGGGUGAAAUCCCGGGGCUCAACCCCGGAAUGGCCUUCGAAACUACUGGUCUGGAGUCCGAGAGAGGUGGGUGGAAUUCCGAGUGUAGAGGUGAAAUUCGUAGAUAUUCGGAGGAACACCAGUGGCGAAGGCGGCCCACUGGCUCGGUACUGACGCUGAGGUGCGAAAGCGUGGGGAGCAAACAGGAUUAGAUACCCCUGUAGU